This 734-nucleotide ribosomal RNA is filed under the name Knoellia sinensis. RNAcentral's name for it is "bacterial SSU rRNA". It matches the Rfam family "Bacterial small subunit ribosomal RNA", at positions 89 to 844 of the family's 1533-position model. The record is from RNAcentral. Lineage: Bacteria; Bacillati; Actinomycetota; Actinomycetes; Micrococcales; Intrasporangiaceae.
UGAACAGUGGCGAACGGGUGAGUAACACGUGAGUAACCUGCCCCUGACUCUGGAAUAAGCGCUGGAAACGGCGUCUAAUACCGGAUAUGACACGAACGGGCAUCCGUAUCGUGUGGAAAGUUUUUCGGUCUGGGAUGGACUCGCGGCCUAUCAGCUUGUUGGUGAGGUAAUGGCUCACCAAGGCGAUGACGGGUAGCCGGCCUGAGAGGGCGACCGGCCACACUGGGACUGAGACACGGCCCAGACUCCUACGGGAGGCAGCAGUGGGGAAUAUUGCACAAUGGGCGAAAGCCUGAUGCAGCGACGCCGCGUGAGGGAUGACGGCCUUCGGGUUGUAAACCUCUUUCAGCAGGGAAGAAGCGAAAGUGACGGUACCUGCAGAAGAAGCACCGGCUAACUACGUGCCAGCAGCCGCGGUAAUACGUAGGGUGCGAGCGUUGUCCGGAAUUAUUGGGCGUAAAGAGCUUGUAGGCGGUUUGUCGCGUCUGCCGUGAAAAUCCGGGGCUCAACCCCGGACUUGCGGUGGGUACGGGCAGACUAGAGUGUGGUAGGGGAGACUGGAAUUCCUGGUGUAGCGGUGAAAUGCGCAGAUAUCAGGAGGAACACCGAUGGCGAAGGCAGGUCUCUGGGCCACUACUGACGCUGAGAAGCGAAAGCAUGGGGAGCGAACAGGAUUAGAUAUCCUGGUAGUCCAUGCCGUAAACGUUGGGCGCUAGGUGUGGGACUCAUUCCAC